RNAcentral lists this ribosomal RNA (1149 nucleotides) under uncultured bacterium. RNAcentral's name for it is "bacterial SSU rRNA". It matches the Rfam family "Bacterial small subunit ribosomal RNA", at positions 41 to 1195 of the family's 1533-position model. The record is from RNAcentral.
AGGGGGCAGCUACACAUGCAGUCGAACGGUAACAGGAUGUGCUUGCACAUCGCUGACGAGUGGCGGACGGGUGAGUAAUGCUUAGGGAUCUGCCUCUGUGUGGGGGAUAACUAUUGGAAACGAUAGCUAAUACCGCAUAAUGUUUACGGACCAAAGGGGGCGUUUGCUCCCGCGCAGAGAGGAACCUAAGUGAGAUUAGCUAGUUGGUAAGGUAAUGGCUUACCAAGGCGACGAUCUCUAGCUGUUCUGAGAGGAAGAUCAGCCACACUGGGACUGAGACACGGCCCAGACUCCUACGGGAGGCAGCAGUGGGGAAUAUUGCACAAUGGGGGGAACCCUGAUGCAGCCAUGCCGCGUGUGUGAAGAAGGCCUUCGGGUUGUAAAGCACUUUCAGUUGUGAGGAAAGGUUAGUAGUUAAUACCUGCUAGCUGUGACGUUAGCAACAGAAGAAGCACCGGCUAACUCCGUGCCAGCAGCCGCGGUAAUACGGAGGGUGCGAGCGUUAAUCGGAAUUACUGGGCGUAAAGCGCACGCAGGCGGUUUGUUAAGCUAGAUGUGAAAGCCCCGAGCUCAACUUGGGAUGGUCAUUUAGAACUGGCAGACUAGAGUCUUGGAGAGGGGAGUGGAAUUUCUAGUGUAGCGGUGAAAUGCGUAGAUAUUAGAAGGAACAUCAGUGGCGAAGGCGACUCCCUGGCCAAAGACUGACGCUCAUGUGCGAAAGUGUGGGUAGCGAACAGGAUUAGAUACCCUGGUAGUCCACACCGUAAACGCUGUCUACUAGCUGUGUGUGAGUUUAACUCGUGAGUAGCGAAGCUAACGCGCUAAGUAGACCGCCUGGGGAGUACGGCCGCAAGGUUAAAACUCAAAUGAAUUGACGGGGGCCCGCACAAGCGGUGGAGCAUGUGGUUUAAUUCGAUGCAACGCGAAGAACCUUACCUACACUUGACAUUCAGCGAACUUAGCAGAGAUGCUUUGGUGCCUUCGGGAACGCUGGGACAGGUGCUGCAUGGCUGUCGUCAGCUCGUGUCGUGAGAUGUUGGUUAAGUCCCGCAACGAGCGCAACCCUUGUCCUUAGUUGCCAGCCUUUAGUUGGCACUCUAGAGACUGCCGGUGACAAACCGGAGAGGUGGGGACGACGUCAAGUCAUCA